GGGCCCGUGGCCUAGCUUGGAUAGGGCGUCGGCCUUCGGAGCCGGAGGUCCCGGGUUCAAAUCCCGGCGGGCCCA
This 75-nucleotide transfer RNA is filed under the name Nitrososphaerota archaeon. RNAcentral describes it as "tRNA-Arg". It matches the Rfam family "tRNA". From Rfam's summary of the family: Transfer RNA (tRNA) molecules are approximately 80 nucleotides in length. Their secondary structure includes four short double-helical elements and three loops (D, anti-codon, and T loops). RNAcentral also lists the same sequence under 3 other names. The record is from RNAcentral. Lineage: Archaea; Thermoproteati; Nitrososphaerota.